CACUUUUAAAGGACCGCAGUCUUAGCCCACCAAUCUUAGGCGUUGGAAACCCU
RNAcentral lists this transfer RNA (53 nucleotides) under Paroedura ibityensis. RNAcentral describes it as "tRNA-Leu". Lineage: Eukaryota; Metazoa; Chordata; Lepidosauria; Squamata; Gekkonidae. The record is from RNAcentral.